GUCUGCGGCCAUGACACACUGAACGUGCCCAAUAUCGUCUGAUCUCAGAAGCUAAGCAGGGUUGGGCCUGGUUAGUACUUGAAUGGGAGACCACCUAGGAAUACCAGGUGCUGUAGGCA
Molecule: ribosomal RNA, 119 nt
Filed under: Pteropus alecto (black flying fox)
Lineage: Eukaryota; Metazoa; Chordata; Mammalia; Chiroptera; Pteropodidae
Source: RNAcentral